RNAcentral lists this ribosomal RNA (286 nucleotides) under uncultured bacterium. RNAcentral's name for it is "partial 16S ribosomal RNA". It matches the Rfam family "Bacterial small subunit ribosomal RNA", at positions 773 to 1060 of the family's 1533-position model. The record is from RNAcentral.
GUGGAUUAGAUACCCGGGUAGUCCACGCCGUAAACGGUGGGCACUAGUUGUGGGGACCUUCCACGGUCUCUGCGACGCAGCUAACGCAUUAAGUGCCCCGCCUGGGGAGUACGAUCGCAAGAUUAAAACUCAAAGGAAUUGACGGGGCCCCGCACAAGCAGCGGAGCAUGCGGCUUAAUUCGACGCAACGCGAAGAACCUUACCAAGGCUUGACAUAUACAGGAAUAUGGCAGAGAUGUCAUAGCCGCAAGGUCUGUAUACAGGUGGUGCACGGCCGUCGCCAACU